UUAAGCGACUAAGCGUACACGGUGGAUGCCCUGGCAGUCAGAGGCGAUGAAGGACGUGCUAAUCUGCGAUAAGCGUCGGUGAGGUGAUAUGAACCGUUAUAACCGGCGAUUUCCGAAUGGGGAAACCCAGUGUGUUUCGACACACUAUCAUUAACUGAAUCCAUAGGUUAAUGAGGCGAACCGGGGGAACUGAAACAUCUAAGUACCCCGAGGAAAAGAAAUCAACCGAGAUUCCCCCAGUAGCGGCGAGCGAACGGGGAGGAGCCCAGAGCCUGAAUCAGUGUGUGUGUUAGUGGAAGCGUCUGGAAAGGCGCGCGAUACAGGGUGACAGCCCCGUACACAAAAAUGCACAUAUUGUGAGCUCGAUGAGUAGGGCGGGACACGUGGUAUCCUGUCUGAAUAUGGGGGGACCAUCCUCCAAGGCUAAAUACUCCUGACUGACCGAUAGUGAACCAGUACCGUGAGGGAAAGGCGAAAAGAACCCCGGCGAGGGGAGUGAAAAAGAACCUGAAACCGUGUACGUACAAGCAGUGGGAGCCUCUUAAUGGGGUGACUGCGUACCUUUUGUAUAAUGGGUCAGCGACUUAUAUUCUGUAGCAAGGUUAACCGAAUAGGGGAGCCGAAGGGAAACCGAGUCUUAACUGGGCGUUAAGUUGCAGGGUAUAGACCCGAAACCCGGUGAUCUAGCCAUGGGCAGGUUGAAGGUUGGGUAACACUAACUGGAGGACCGAACCGACUAAUGUUGAAAAAUUAGCGGAUGACUUGUGGCUGGGGGUGAAAGGCCAAUCAAACCGGGAGAUAGCUGGUUCUCCCCGAAAGCUAUUUAGGUAGCGCCUCGUGAAUUCAUCUCCGGGGGUAGAGCACUGUUUCGGCAAGGGGGUCAUCCCGACUUACCAACCCGAUGCAAACUGCGAAUACCGGAGAAUGUUAUCACGGGAGACACACGGCGGGUGCUAACGUCCGUCGUGAAGAGGGAAACAACCCAGACCGCCAGCUAAGGUCCCAAAGUCAUGGUUAAGUGGGAAACGAUGUGGGAAGGCCCAGACAGCCAGGAUGUUGGCUUAGAAGCAGCCAUCAUUUAAAGAAAGCGUAAUAGCUCACUGGUCGAGUCGGCCUGCGCGGAAGAUGUAACGGGGCUAAACCAUGCACCGAAGCUGCGGCAGCGACACUAUGUGUUGUUGGGUAGGGGAGCGUUCUGUAAGCCUGUGAAGGUGGCCUGUGAGGGUUGCUGGAGGUAUCAGAAGUGCGAAUGCUGACAUAAGUAACGAUAAAGCGGGUGAAAAGCCCGCUCGCCGGAAGACCAAGGGUUCCUGUCCAACGUUAAUCGGGGCAGGGUGAGUCGACCCCUAAGGCGAGGCCGAAAGGCGUAGUCGAUGGGAAACAGGUUAAUAUUCCUGUACUUGGUGUUACUGCGAAGGGGGGACGGAGAAGGCUAUGUUGGCCGGGCGACGGUUGUCCCGGUUUAAGCGUGUAGGCUGGUUUUCCAGGCAAAUCCGGAAAAUCAAGGCUGAGGCGUGAUGACGAGGCACUACGGUGCUGAAGCGACAAAUGCCCUGCUUCCAGGAAAAGCCUCUAAGCAUCAGGUAACAUCAAAUCGUACCCCAAACCGACACAGGUGGUCAGGUAGAGAAUACCAAGGCGCUUGAGAGAACUCGGGUGAAGGAACUAGGCAAAAUGGUGCCGUAACUUCGGGAGAAGGCACGCUGAUAUGUAGGUGAAGCGACUUGCUCGUGGAGCUGAAAUCAGUCGAAGAUACCAGCUGGCUGCAACUGUUUAUUAAAAACACAGCACUGUGCAAACACGAAAGUGGACGUAUACGGUGUGACGCCUGCCCGGUGCCGGAAGGUUAAUUGAUGGGGUUAGCGGUAACGCGAAGCUCUUGAUCGAAGCCCCGGUAAACGGCGGCCGUAACUAUAACGGUCCUAAGGUAGCGAAAUUCCUUGUCGGGUAAGUUCCGACCUGCACGAAUGGCGUAAUGAUGGCCAGGCUGUCUCCACCCGAGACUCAGUGAAAUUGAACUCGCUGUGAAGAUGCAGUGUACCCGCGGCAAGACGGAAAGACCCCGUGAACCUUUACUAUAGCUUGACACUGAACAUUGAGCCUUGAUGUGUAGGAUAGGUGGGAGGCUUUGAAGUGUGGACGCCAGUCUGCAUGGAGCCGGCCUUGAAAUACCACCCUUUAAUGUUUGAUGUUCUAACGUUGGCCCGUAAUCCGGGUUGCGGACAGUGUCUGGUGGGUAGUUUGACUGGGGCGGUCUCCUCCUAAAGAGUAACGGAGGAGCACGAAGGUUGGCUAAUCCUGGUCGGACAUCAGGAGGUUAGUGCAAUGGCAUAAGCCAGCUUGACUGCGAGCGUGACGGCGCGAGCAGGUGCGAAAGCAGGUCAUAGUGAUCCGGUGGUUCUGAAUGGAAGGGCCAUCGCUCAACGGAUAAAAGGUACUCCGGGGAUAACAGGCUGAUACCGCCCAAGAGUUCAUAUCGACGGCGGUGUUUGGCACCUCGAUGUCGGCUCAUCACAUCCUGGGGCUGAAGUAGGUCCCAAGGGUAUGGCUGUUCGCCAUUUAAAGUGGUACGCGAGCUGGGUUUAGAACGUCGUGAGACAGUUCGGUCCCUAUCUGCCGUGGGCGCUGGAGAACUGAGGGGGGCUGCUCCUAGUACGAGAGGACCGGAGUGGACGCAUCACUGGUGUUCGGGUUGUCAUGCCAAUGGCACUGCCCGGUAGCUAAAUGCGGAAGAGAUAAGUGCUGAAAGCAUCUAAGCACGAAACUUGCCCCGAGAUGAGUUCUCCCUGACCCUUUAAGGGUCCUGAAGGAACGUUGAAGACGACGACGUUGAUAGGCCGGGUGUGUAAGCGCAGCGAUGCGUUGAGCUAACCGGUACUAAUGAACCGUGAGGCUUAACCUU
RNAcentral lists this ribosomal RNA (2902 nucleotides) under Escherichia coli. RNAcentral's name for it is "bacterial LSU rRNA". It matches the Rfam family "Bacterial large subunit ribosomal RNA". Lineage: Bacteria; Pseudomonadati; Pseudomonadota; Gammaproteobacteria; Enterobacterales; Enterobacteriaceae. RNAcentral also lists the same sequence under 5 other names. The record is from RNAcentral.